ACUUUGCUUUAAAAUGGCGGGUCGGACGAAGUCUUCGGGCUUAGUGGCGGACGGGUGAGUAACGCUUGGGAAUCUGCCUGUUAGUGGGGGACAACCCGGGGAAACUCGGGCUAAUACCGCAUACGCACUACGGUGGAAAGCCGGGGACCGCAAGGCCUGGCGCUAACAGAUGAGCCCAAGUCGGAUUAGCUAGUUGGUAGGGUAACGGCCUACCAAGGCGACGAUCCGUAACUGGUCUGAGAGGACGACCAGUCACACCGGAACUGAGACACGGUCCGGACUCCUACGGGAGGCAGCAGUGGGGAAUAUUGGACAAUGGGGGAAACCCUGAUCCAGCGACGCCGCGUGGGUGAAGAAGGCCUGCGGGUUGUAAAGCCCUUUCAGUGGGGAAGAAAAGCCUCGAGCUAAUACCUCGGGGUCUUGACGUAACCCAUAGAAGAAGCACCGGCUAACUCUGUGCCAGCAGCCGCGGUAAUA
This 477-nucleotide ribosomal RNA is filed under the name uncultured Steroidobacter sp. RNAcentral's name for it is "bacterial SSU rRNA". It matches the Rfam family "Bacterial small subunit ribosomal RNA", at positions 42 to 525 of the family's 1533-position model. The record is from RNAcentral. Lineage: Bacteria; Pseudomonadati; Pseudomonadota; Gammaproteobacteria; Steroidobacterales; Steroidobacteraceae.